Molecule: ribosomal RNA, 446 nt
Filed under: uncultured bacterium
Lineage: Bacteria
Description: partial 16S ribosomal RNA
Rfam family: Bacterial small subunit ribosomal RNA
Source: RNAcentral
CCUACGGGUGGCAGCAGUCGAGAAUCAUUCACAAUGGGGGAAACCCUGAUGGUGCGACGCCGCGUGGGGGAAUGAAGGUCUUCGGAUUGUAAACCCCUGUCAUGUGGGAGCAAAUUAAAAAGAUAGUACCACAAGAGGAAGAGACGGCUAACUCUGUGCCAGCAGCCGCGGUAAUACAGAGGUCUCAAGCGUUGUUCGGAAUCACUGGGCGUAAAGCGUGCGUAGGCUGUUUCGUAAGUCGCGUGUGAAAGGCGCGGGCUCAACCCGCGGACGGCACAUGAUACUGCGAGACUAGAGUGAUGGAGGGGGAACCGGAAUUCUCGGUGUAGCAGUGAAAUGCGUAGAUAUCGAGAGGAACACUCGUGGCGAAGGCGGGUUCCUGGACAUUAACUGACGCUGAGGCACGAAGGCCAGGGGAGCGAAAGGGAUUAGAUACCCCUGUAGUC